Molecule: long non-coding RNA, 829 nt
Organism: Saccostrea cuccullata (small rock oyster)
Lineage: Eukaryota; Metazoa; Mollusca; Bivalvia; Ostreida; Ostreidae
Exons: 2
Source: RefSeq, a predicted model, not a curated record
ACCGCCCCCUCCCUCUGAGAGUGUUCAGUUAGUAUUUCAGACUUAUCGCCACUAAUGGAUUGGUGGGUAUUCAGUCUUUAUUCCAAGUGUCCGAUUUCUGUAGUGAUUAGUCUAUCGAUGUGUUUUCCUCCAAGCAUCAUGAGGGACAGUCCCUAAUGGUUGUUCACAUUAUGUACGUAUUCGCGCCGAUAUUCGUAAUUCCUGACCUCAUUGGUAGCUAAUCCUUAAUAUGCGUGCUGUCUGAUGGGUCAGCUCAACUGCCGAUGAAGAUGUUCAGACAUUUUGAUUGGUCGAUGACAGUAUAAUAGUCCUCCAAUAUAAUCCAUUGUGACAAAACCUGAUCGAGGAAUACACUUGAGAGGAUACAUUUUGAAGAGAAAAUCUGAUUUGUGCCGACUAUGUGGAGGAACUUACGGAUUCUGAUAUUUCUGGUUCUUGUGUCCGUGACAUACGCUGUAUACUUUGACGACUCGCCAAGCUAUGCCCUCUCGUACACCCAGAACCCCUGCAUACAAUGUCUGUUCACGCACAAACAAGAAUACUGCGAGAUUUGUAAAUACGAGGAAGACAAUGGUGACAUGUACACAAACAAAAGAUCAGGUUAUUCCGUGGGAAGAAUCAGAAAGCGUGGAUAUUACUGUCUUUGUUGUGCACGAUCCAGAUUAACAAACUCUGGCUGUUGUACAAUGUGCAGUACUAUCGAGGUAUAAACAUGUGUAAAAUAAUCUACAGAUUCCAUUCAGUGUCACUGGAACAUUCUUCUCAAGCAAUCCAUGGCAAAAGUAAUGUAACAUUUUAACUGGAAUUAAUUUAUAAAUUGAGAUAUGAA